This is a non-coding RNA of Macaca mulatta (Rhesus monkey), 879 nucleotides long. The record is from RefSeq and is a predicted model, not a curated record. NCBI's taxonomy places the organism in Eukaryota, Metazoa, Chordata, Mammalia, Primates, Cercopithecidae.
ACAAGCAGAGAAGCUGUGAUUAGAAUUGCUAUGUUUAUUAAACUGAGGAGAUAACGUAAAUUGAUUCCUCUCUCUAACUCUUGCUAAUCAGGCGCUACUUCUCUGGAAUUAUGGCAAGAGUUGAGACUAAAUAAAACAAAGGGACAAUUGGAACUAGCCUUCACAAUCUUGGAGACAGUAAAAUUCCUUUGAAGGCUAAAAGACCAUUUUUGUCAUUGGAGAUGUUUACUGAUUAUAUUCACAAAUCCUUCAUCAAGACUUCUUUCUUAAGAAGCCUCCUUCAGAAGAGAAAUUCUCUAAGCAUUAAAAACUAUCACAGACACAUGAAUAUUAUAUGAGUAUUUCAAAGCAAAUUUGGAUUAAAAUUCAUCAAAUUCAUGACAUACAUGGAGUUCCCUGAAGCAUUAUUUCAUAUUUCUGGAUUUUCAAAGUGAUUACAUAUUAAAAGGCCUCGUCUCCAAAAUUACCACACUGAGGGCCAAGACUUCAACAUAUGGUGGAGAGCAGGAGUUUGGAAGCUGAAAAAUCUAACAUCAAGAGUUCAGCAGACUGGAUGCUUGUUAAUAGCCCAUUUCUAAAUUUAUAGAUGGUACCUUUUAGCUGCGUUCACAAAUGAUGAAAAGAACUGGAGCCUCUUUCAUAAGAGCAAUAAUCCCUAAUCACCUCCGGAAAGCCCUGCCUCUUAAAACAAUGAUUUUGUGGAUUAACAUUUUAACAUGUGAGUUUGAUAGAGAUACAAACAUUCAGACUACAGCAAAAAGAAAAAAGGGAGAAGAAUAUUUGUAUGAAAUAUGAGAUUGAUCUGGACUUGGAAAAAUCAGGGAGACACAGUGGACUGGACUCAAUUUGAAAUUCAGUAAAUCAUUUGCUUUGAGUGUG